RNAcentral lists this ribosomal RNA (484 nucleotides) under uncultured bacterium. Its description in RNAcentral is "partial 16S ribosomal RNA". It matches the Rfam family "Bacterial small subunit ribosomal RNA", at positions 29 to 507 of the family's 1533-position model. The record is from RNAcentral.
AUUGAACGCUGGCGGCAUGCUUUACACGUGCAAGUCGAACGGCAGCGCGGGCUUCGGCCUGGCGGCGAGUGGCGAACGGGUGAGUAAUACAUCGGAACGUGCCCAGUAGUGGGGGAUAGCUCGGCGAAAGCCGGAUUAAUACCGCAUACGACCUGAGGGUGAAAGCGGGGGAUCUUCGGACCUCGCGCUAUUGGAGCGGCCGAUGGCAGAUUAGUUAGUUGGUGGGGUAAAGGCCUACCAAGGCGACGAUCUGUAGCUGGUCUGAGAGGACGACCAGCCACACUGGGACUGAGACACGGCCCAGACUCCUACGGGAGGCAGCAGUGGGGAAUUUUGGACAAUGGGCGAAAGCCUGAUCCAGCAAUGCCGCGUGUGUGAUGAAGGCCUUCGGGUUGUAAAGCACUUUUGGCGGGAACGAAAAGGACUGUGCCAAUACCACGGUUCGAUGACGGUACCCGCAGAAUAAGCACCGGCUAACUACGUG